This 311-nucleotide ribosomal RNA is filed under the name uncultured bacterium. RNAcentral describes it as "bacterial SSU rRNA". It matches the Rfam family "Bacterial small subunit ribosomal RNA", at positions 146 to 490 of the family's 1533-position model. The record is from RNAcentral.
ACACGAGGAAACUUGUGCUAAUACCGGAUAAGUCUUUACGGAGAAAGCUUUAUGCACCAUUGGAUGAGCCCGCACUUGAUUAGUUUGUUGGUAGGGUAAUGGCCUACCAAGACUUUGAUCAAUAGCUGAUUUGAGAGGAUGAUCAGCCACAUUGGGACUGAGACACGGCCCAAACUCCUACGGGAGGCAGCAGUGGGGAAUCUUGCACAAUGGAGGAAACUCUGAUGCAGCGAUGCCGCGUGAGUGAAGAAGGCCUUUGGGUUGUAAAGCUCUUUCGUCGGGGAAGAAAAUGACUGUACCCGAAUAAGAAG